CCCCGCCGCUCGCCGCGGCCGCGGGGAGGGCCGUCCGGCGGGGAGGAGCUCGACCUCUUCAUGACGCACUAUGUAUUGCUCCUUUGCUCAUUCAAGGAACAGCUGCAGCAGCAUGUACGUGUUCAUGCAAUGGAAGCAGUGAUGUGUUGCUGGGAGCUUGAACAAUCUUUACAAAGCCUAACAGGUGCAGGAGUGCUACGAGCUCUCGUCGGAGUACAAGAAUGACCAAUAUCAGGCUCGACUUUGUGAGCUCGAGUCUUGAUUCAUAGGGCGGGAGGUGCUUCAACCCCGACACCGUCCACGACCACGCGUCCUACGCCUUCAACAGCUACCCGCCUCAACCAGCUGCGACUUCCGUGGUGGUAAUGUGGCAUCUCUAAGGUCGUACUUGCAUAUCAAGAUGGAGAACCAGAGAGCGCUCAAGGGCAUCAUCCCCGCCAAGAGGAUGUUGUUCCGUGCCAUGGCCGCCACAUCGGUGGCAACUGACGAGAUCGCGGCAGCAGGAAAGGGCCGAUCCAAUCAGGCUAAUAGAUGACGACACGUCAGGGGAAGUCCAAUUCACCAUAAGACUUUUUUCUUAAAACCUCUAUGUGGUGCUCAUAUUUUUUCAAUCUACAGGUUGUCGAAGACUUUUGUUGCAGAUGAUCCAAAUGUUGUUGCUAUCCACAUGAAGAAAGGCGUGAGGCGAUAGCUGUAGAGACAUGACAUUGCCACAACAGCGGUAGUGCCAUAUCGGUGGGCUUGUAGAUGCUUCUUCCAUGCGGUCUGCAGACGACAGUGACCUCCUGGUGGCGGUGGUGCUAGAUCGCUGGGGCUGAAGAGGCGCCCUGUUGUCACAACAAGUCUUAGACGUGGUCUGCAGAUUAGAUGAUAGUGACUUCCCUUCCUUGCGACUCAUGGUUUGUUGGAGCUGUAGGAUUCUCCCGGCACAAUGGAGUCGGCACUCACGACGGCCUUGGACAUAAUCCUGAGCAACAAGAUGCUGAACUUCUAUUUGGACCUGGCUGUACUGGUCUUGCGGAUCUUGGGAAUAGUUGCUAUAUGGCUUCAAUAAUGCAAGUCAUGUUUUUAACCCACCAUUCCAUAUCAAGAUACUUUGAGAAACAGAGUCUGAAAGCUGCAUUUGCUUCUGCACUAGCUGAUCCAACAGUAGACCUAAAUAUGCAAAUGUAUUGCACUUGCACAUUCCGGCCAGCAUGCACCCAAGGUUGACCAAACUGAUUCAACAGUGUUGGGAUGAGAUCAUAAUGUGCGUCCGACUUUUGCAGAGAUCAUUAUAGAACUCCAAGAUAUUCUACACCAUAU
Long non-coding RNA from Zea mays, 1305 nucleotides. RefSeq lists it as uncharacterized. The record is from RefSeq and is a predicted model, not a curated record. The transcript has 12 exons. Lineage: Eukaryota; Viridiplantae; Streptophyta; Magnoliopsida; Poales; Poaceae.